AUCCUCGAGCAGUCAUUCAGGUU
This 23-nucleotide non-coding RNA is filed under the name Arabidopsis thaliana (thale cress). The record is from RNAcentral. Lineage: Eukaryota; Viridiplantae; Streptophyta; Magnoliopsida; Brassicales; Brassicaceae.